UCCCUGCUGGCUCAGUGGUAAAGAAUCUGCCUGCAAUGCAGAUGUGGUUCAAUUCCUGGGUUGGGAA
RNAcentral lists this transfer RNA (67 nucleotides) under Ovis aries (sheep). It matches the Rfam family "tRNA". From Rfam's summary of the family: Transfer RNA (tRNA) molecules are approximately 80 nucleotides in length. Their secondary structure includes four short double-helical elements and three loops (D, anti-codon, and T loops). The record is from Rfam by way of RNAcentral. Lineage: Eukaryota; Metazoa; Chordata; Mammalia; Artiodactyla; Bovidae.